GCCCAUAUAGCUCAUUGUCAGUGGCAGAGUGUUGGUCUUGUAAACCAAAGGUCCGUAGUUCAAUCCUGCGUGAGGGCA
Molecule: transfer RNA, 78 nt
Filed under: Caenorhabditis japonica
Lineage: Eukaryota; Metazoa; Nematoda; Chromadorea; Rhabditida; Rhabditidae
Rfam family: tRNA
About the family: Transfer RNA (tRNA) molecules are approximately 80 nucleotides in length. Their secondary structure includes four short double-helical elements and three loops (D, anti-codon, and T loops).
Source: Rfam by way of RNAcentral